Gasterosteus aculeatus aculeatus (three-spined stickleback) is the source of this 382-nucleotide long non-coding RNA. Lineage: Eukaryota; Metazoa; Chordata; Actinopteri; Perciformes; Gasterosteidae. The record is from Ensembl.
CCGGUGGGGGGGGUCGGGAUCAAGGUGGUCCUCGGCACUGACACAUCAUCUGCCGGCCCAAUACACAGCUGGCUGCGGCCGCGGGCCUGUGGCCUUUACCUAAGGCGCCCUGUGCUCUUUAGCUGUGAGAAACUUGUUGGCGCGGCAUUCAGCUGGUGGCCUUCAAUCCUCAAAGUGCUGUUCUCUCAAUCAAAACCUGGCCGGUGGUCAACAUAAGGCCCUUUACCAUGACAAGAGAGAAGUAUUGAAUCUGCAACGCCGUGGAUACAGUCAACAUGAAGCAUAUCGGAUGGCAUUCCUCGCCAACAUUCCUCUCAAUAUCAAAAGGUUUCCCAACGUUCUCAGGAGGAUAAUUCUCCCAGAGCCCCCCCCACCACACUCU